Phragmites australis (common reed) is the source of this 2655-nucleotide long non-coding RNA. RefSeq lists it as uncharacterized. The transcript is spliced from 3 exons. NCBI's taxonomy places the organism in Eukaryota, Viridiplantae, Streptophyta, Magnoliopsida, Poales, Poaceae. The record is from RefSeq and is a predicted model, not a curated record.
CUCAGGCAUAGCGGGCAGAGAAAUGUCCUUCGAGAAAUGUCGAGUCCUUCACCUCUUCCUCUCCCUCAAUCGAUCUGUUCUCCAUCCGUCCUCCCCGGGGUCACCCUCCGUCUCUCACGUGCUGCUCCCCAACCGUGGCUUGCCCACGCGGGACGCCCACGCAGCUCCAGCACCGAGGUGCCGCACAGGUCGCGCGGCGAUGGCCAGCGAUGGAUAGAACAUAUGCCAGGGCUUCAAGUCCUCCCGAUUUCGCGGUGGUGCCAAUGGCAUAGCAGUAGGGUCGGCCGCAGUGACAGUCGGUGGCCGACGACUGGACCAAAGCCACCCGCUUCGUGCAUUCACGUUUGUCUGGUGGAUGUGACCGCCUGUGCUGCGCAAACCAGAGCGCCACCAAGCCGUUCUUGAGCUGCCACCCGCUGGAGCCCGAUACCGCGUGCAUCUGCCAGGAGAAGGCCGGAUCCAAACUAGCGAUGGUCAUGACGACGGCGUGGUGGGGAGUGACGAAGGGAAGCUGCAUCGCUCAAGCAAGUUCAGUCAUGGGACUGCGUCAAGGUGAGCACGCUGCUGGCACCUUGAGCCUCUCCGGCACACCACAAUCACCGGCAUGAACACAACCUGUUCGACUGAAUGCUUCAGAGGCUUAUUUAUUUCCCCUUGUGCAUGAAAGAAAUCCAUGCGAAAUAGAACAUCUUGAGUAGGAACACGCACGACAGAAAAUUAUCCCUCAAUUACAUAGAACGGACCUGCAGUUCCAUUUAUGCUAUGCCAAUGAGUUAUUCUUCUCUGCUCUACUUUAACAUUAUUUUAUACAUGUACAUAAUGUGAUGAUUGAAUUGGAUAGGUCGAGUUGCCUUCUCUUGUGUGAGAUAUAUUUGUGUUUGGUUAUAUACUGCUUUGGAAAUAGUAUAUGCACAGGAUUUCGUAUGAUCUUGCCAUGUCACUGGAGGUGUUCUAGGGGAUGGUACAACACAGAGCCCAACGAGGAGAAAGUCGAGGUGUGUUCACCCUGGCGCGUGAAACAUCCUUGCUAGCGAGCAGCAGUAAAGCUACGGAGGACUUGUGUUUCACAAUAGCUAAGAGCAUGAAAGAGCCUAGGGAACCGAUACGGAUAACAAAAAGGAGGCAGCGGCCAUUAGAAACCUGAGAAUGAUAGUUACAUUGCUGCUCAAUCCCCAUGCUACUUCGCCCAAUUUCAGUUCUUUCAAUUAAAUAAUCAGCCUUGACAUGGCAAAUAAAUAACCAAAAAUCUAUGUACCUUAUUGCUAUCAUCCUUGAACUGCUAUGCUGAUUAAUUUUAUUAUCAAUACGAAUGCCCUUCUCUUAAAUUUAGCUCUUUCCAUAUUUAGUCUCCAGACUGUUAUUUUUACAGAAACUGUUACAUCUUUGUAAACGAUGAGAUGUUCUUUUUAUAAUUACUGUUACCAAGUCCUUAGCAUGUGACGCUAGCACAAGGGCACUGAGUAUUAUUGCAUUUUCUUUUCUUUUUUGCAUGUCCCACUGAAUUUGAUUUAAGUUAAACAAUUCUAUAAAUUGUUCAUGCAUUGGUACAGCAACAUUUUCUCAGGCGCUAAGAACAUUAUGCCAGUGUCAAUAUGUUUAGAGCAGCAUGUUGGGGCAGCACUUUGUAAGAACGGAGAUUGUUAGCUAUUAUCAUAAUACGGUCCUAUAUGAAUAAGAAAAAUGCACAUAGAGGAAUUGGGUCCUUUAUUUUUUGAACUUUGUAGAUUAAUUUUAUAUUUGGGUUUGAUUCUGAUUAUUAUUUGGCCAAUUAGACACAUGAUAAUCAUGUAGAAAGUACCCAAUUUAUAUCUCCUCCCGAGCGUUUUCCUUUAUUUUCCGGUCGCUGAGAAAUCCCCGUGUCCCCCACAUGGGUGCUAGCCAAGUGCGGGGGCUAGCAGCAUCAUCCUUCUCAGUGCGCGGUGAGUCUUCUUCUCUUCUUCGAUGUUACUGCCUUUCCAUUGAUUGCAAAGAUACUACUGCCUCAUCCCGCCCCAACAGGCAGCAAAGGAGACCUCUGAAGCAGCGUAUAUAAAGGUUUAUAUUACUAAUGAUAUAAUAGAGAUAUGAUAGCAGCAGUGCCUACAAUGGAAGUGAUUAUCUAGCUUUGGAAGUACGGGAUUUUCCAAGGGUGAAAAUCAAACGAUAGAGACUAAGCAUCAAAAUAGCCUUUUGAAUACAAUUGAUCGUCGUGUACUCUGUCGCCAUCAAAAUAGCCUUUUGCAUCAAGAAUUAUACAGUCAAAGAUACGAGGGAUGGGGCAUCCAUAUAAUGAAAGUGAUCAGUCAAUAAAUACUGCUUAAUACCCAAGUUUUUUUUUAUUUACUAGCAUGGCAUCUUCCUAUUUCACAGUUAAAAUCUACGAAAGGAAAAUUCAGGAGAGAAGUCUCGGUUGAUAUGUAAUAAAAAAAGGAGAAAUAACUAACAUAAUAUUUUUGUCUACAUAUAAAUCAUACAUUUGAUAAAUUUGCAGUCUUAUCUAAUCAAAGUGGUGGCUACUGCAGCUAAUACGAUAAUGUACAAAGGCCUCUGUUAUGUUUCACAUACCUGUUACAUUGUCCUCCUGUUGCCAGUGACUGCUAAUUUAGCUUUUUUUUAACCAUGUUGGCCCUUGGCUCCUUUAAACAUGAUGGAAUGAUAGUCCUUGGCUCCUUUAAA